UGAUGUACUGUCAAGAACUGAAACAUCAGAUCAAGGCCUGACUCUACCCUCAAGUGUCUCCCUCGCUUUGAAGAAGGCCCUUGACCUGCCCAUGCCUCGGUUUCCUCCCUUGAAAAGUUGAACAUUUUCCUGGUAACCAGGCAGAUGAUAUGCUAAUGUAAAUUGGCAGACUUGAACUCAAACUACAAAAAUACGAUCUGCCUCGUGGAAGAAACAAGGGACCAAAGAGACUUCAAGGUCGUCUUCUGGAUUUCUCUUGAAAUUCACACACACUUAGACCUUCUUGAGGUGACUCUUGCCACUGCAUCACGAGUUGCACAGGUGCCAUCAGUGCUCUGAAGUCAAGCCUUCCUUGGACCUGGACAACUGAAUUAAUAAUAACUCACUUCAUCAUUUGAAGUGAGCCACAGUGAACAACACAAACCACAGGAAUUGUGACUGCAAACUGGAGAAUCAAGCGUCCAAAGACUCCUCUUACACAGCUAAGAGGAGGUGAGCAUCUCUCUCUUCUCUUUUGAUUUUAUUUCCCAUCACCCUAUUGCUUAUAAAACCAUUGUAAUUUACCAACAUGCUGGGAAUACAUUAGUGAUUCACCAGAAGGCUCAACUGGACCACAAGGACAU
RNAcentral lists this long non-coding RNA (623 nucleotides) under Cricetulus griseus (Chinese hamster). RNAcentral's name for it is "lncRNA (ENSCGRG00015040792.1)". The record is from RNAcentral. Lineage: Eukaryota; Metazoa; Chordata; Mammalia; Rodentia; Cricetidae.